GAACGAUGAUGCCCAGCUUGCUGGGCGGAUUAGUGGCGAACGGGUGAGUAAUACGUGAGUAACCUGCCCUUGACUCUGGGAUAAGCCUGGGAAACUGGGUCUAAUACUGGAUACUACCUCUUACCGCAUGGUGGGUGGUGGAAAGGGUUUUACUGGUUUUGGAUGGGCUCACGGCCUAUCAGCUUGUUGGUGGGGUAAUGGCUCACCAAGGCGACGACGGGUAGCCGGCCUGAGAGGGUGACCGGCCACACUGGGACUGAGACACGGCCCAGACUCCUACGGGAGGCAGCAGUGGGGAAUAUUGCACAAUGGGCGGAAGCCUGAUGCAGCGACGCCGCGUGAGGGAUGACGGCCUUCGGGUUGUAAACCUCUUUCAGUAGGGAAGAAGCGAGAGUGACGGUACCUGCAGAAGAAGCGCCGGCUAACUACGUGCCAGCAGCCGCGGUAAUACGUAGGGCGCAAGCGUUGUCCGGAAUUAUUGGGCGUAAAGAGCUCGUAGGCGGUUUGUCGCGUCUGCUGUGAAAGCCCGGGGCUCAACCCCGGGUCUGCAGUGGGUACGGGCAGACUAGAGUGCAGUAGGGGAGACUGGAAUUCCUGGUGUAGCGGUGAAAUGCGCAGAUAUCAGGAGGAACACCGAUGGCGAAGGCAGGUCUCUGGGCUGUUACUGACGCUGAGGAGCGAAAGCAUGGGGAGCGAACAGGAUUAGAUACCCUGGUAGUCCAUGCCGUAAACGUUGGGCACUAGGUGUGGGGGACAUUCCACGUUUUCCGCGCCGUAGCUAACGCAUUAAGUGCCCCGCCUGGGGAGUACGGCCGCAAGGCUAAAACUCAAAGGAAUUGACGGGGGCCCGCACAAGCGGCGGAGCAUGCGGAUUAAUUCGAUGCAACGCGAAGAACCUUACCAAGGCUUGACAUUCACCGGACCGCCCCAGAGAUGGGGUUUCCCUUCGGGGCUGGUGGACAGGUGGUGCAUGGUUGUCGUCAGCUCGUGUCGUGAGAUGUUGGGUUAAGUCCCGCAACGAGCGCAACCCUCGUUCUAUGUUGCCAGCACGUGAUGGUGGGGACUCAUAGGAGACUGCCGGGGUCAACUCGGAGGAAGGUGGGGAUGACGUCAAAUCAUCAUGCCCCUUAUGUCUUGGGCUUCACGCAUGCUACAAUGGCCGGUACAAAGGGUUGCGAUACUGUGAGGUGGAGCUAAUCCCAAAAAGCCGGUCUCAGUUCGGAUUGAGGUCUGCAACUCGACCUCAUGAAGUCGGAGUCGCUAGUAAUCGCAGAUCAGCAACGCUGCGGUGAAUACGUUCCCGGGCCUUGUA
This 1312-nucleotide ribosomal RNA is filed under the name Kocuria sp. Its description in RNAcentral is "bacterial SSU rRNA". It matches the Rfam family "Bacterial small subunit ribosomal RNA", at positions 64 to 1385 of the family's 1533-position model. The record is from RNAcentral. Lineage: Bacteria; Bacillati; Actinomycetota; Actinomycetes; Micrococcales; Micrococcaceae.